This 305-nucleotide ribosomal RNA is filed under the name uncultured bacterium. RNAcentral describes it as "bacterial SSU rRNA". It matches the Rfam family "Bacterial small subunit ribosomal RNA", at positions 337 to 636 of the family's 1533-position model. The record is from RNAcentral.
CCCUACGGGAGGCAGCAGUGGGGAAUAUUGCACAAUGGGCGAAAGCCUGAUGCAGCAACGCCGCGUGAGCGAUGAAGGCCUUCGGGUCGUAAAGAUCUGUUGACAGGGACGAAUAAGCAAUGCGAAUAGUUUUGUGUAUGACGGUACCUGUUUAGAAAGCUCCGGCUAACUACGUGCCAGCAGCCGCGGUAAUACGUAGGGAGCAAGCGUUGUCCGGAAUUACUGGGCGUAAAGGGCGCGUAGGUGGGCGCUUAAGUCAGGUGUGAGAACUCCGGGCUCAACCUGGAGGCUGCACUUGAAACUGG